Molecule: ribosomal RNA, 621 nt
Filed under: bacterium
Lineage: Bacteria
Description: bacterial SSU rRNA
Rfam family: Bacterial small subunit ribosomal RNA
Source: RNAcentral
GGAGCUUGCUCCCCAUUAAUCAUGAGUCGCGAACGGGUGAUUAACGCCUACGUAACCUGCCUGAUAGCGGGGGAUAACUAUUGGAAACGAUAGCUAAUACCGCAUAAGAGUCGUUAACACAUGUUAAUGAUUUAAAAGGAGCAAUUGCUUCACUAUCAUAUGGACCUGCGUUGUAUUAGCUAGUUGGUGAGGUAACGGCUCACCAAGGCUUCGAUACAUAGCCGACCUGAGAGGGUGAUCGGCCACACCGGGACUGAGACACGGCCCAGACUCCUACGGGAGGCAGCAGUAGGGAAUCUUCGGCAAUGGACGAAAGUCUGACCGAGCAACGCCGCGUGAGUGAAGAAGGUUUUCGGAUCGUAAAGCUCUGUUAUAAGCGAAGAACGGGAGUAAGAGUGGAAAGUUUACUCUGUGACGGUAGCUUAUCAGAAAGGGACGGCUAACUACGUGCCAGCAGCCGCGGUAAUACGUAGGUCCCGAGCGUUGUCCGGAUUUAUUGGGCGUAAAGCGAGCGCAUGUGGUUUAAUAAGUCUGAAGUUAAAGGCAUUGGCUCAACCAAUGUACGCUUUGGAAACUGUUGAACUUGAGUGCAGAAGGGGAGAGUGGAACUCCAUGUGUAGC